This 497-nucleotide ribosomal RNA is filed under the name uncultured bacterium. RNAcentral describes it as "partial 16S ribosomal RNA". It matches the Rfam family "Bacterial small subunit ribosomal RNA", at positions 28 to 507 of the family's 1533-position model. The record is from RNAcentral.
GAUGAACGCUGGCGGCGUGCCUAAUACAUGCAAGUCGAGCGAACGGACGAGAAGCUUGCUUCUCUGAUGUUAGCGGCGGACGGGUGAGUAACACGUGGAUAACCUACCUAUAAGACUGGGAUAACUUCGGGAAACCGGAGCUAAUACCGGAUAAUAUUUUGAACCGCAUGGUUCAAAAGUGAAAGACGGUCUUGCUGUCACUUAUAGAUGGAUCCGCGCUGCAUUAGCUAGUUGGUAAGGUAACGGCUUACCAAGGCAACGAUGCAUAGCCGACCUUAGAGGGUGAACAGCCACACUGGAACUGAGACACGGUCCAGACUCCGACGGGAGGCAGCAGUAGGGAAUCUUCCGCAAUGGGCGAAAGCCUGACGGAGCAACGCCGCGUGAGUGAUGAAGGUCUUCGGAUCGUAAAACUCUGUUAUUAGGGAAGAACAUAUGUGUAAGUAACUGUGCACAUCUUGACGGUACCUAAUCAGAAAGCCACGGCUAACUACGUG